UGGCGGACGGGUGAGUAAUGUCUGGGAAACUGCCUGAUGGAGGGGGAUAACUACUGGAAACGGUAGCUAAUACCGCAUAACGUCGCAAGACCAAAGAGGGGGACCUUCGGGCCUCGCGCCAUCAGAUGAACCCAUAUGGGAUUAGCUAGUAGGUAAGGUAACGGCUUACCUAGGCGACGAUCCCUAGCUGGUCUGAGAGGAUGACCAGCCACACUGGAACUGAGACACGGUCCAG
RNAcentral lists this ribosomal RNA (235 nucleotides) under uncultured bacterium. RNAcentral describes it as "partial 16S ribosomal RNA". It matches the Rfam family "Bacterial small subunit ribosomal RNA", at positions 96 to 334 of the family's 1533-position model. The record is from RNAcentral.